Molecule: ribosomal RNA, 385 nt
Filed under: uncultured bacterium
Lineage: Bacteria
Description: bacterial SSU rRNA
Rfam family: Bacterial small subunit ribosomal RNA
Source: RNAcentral
AGUGAACGCUGGCGGCAGGCCUAACACAUGCAAGUCGAGCGGCAGCGCGUCCGACCACCCUCGGGUGGUCGGAUGGCGGCGAGCGGCGGACGGGUGAGGAAUGCAUCGGAAUCUGCCUCGUUGUGGGGGAUAACGUAGGGAAACUUACGCUAAUACCGCAUACGACCUACGGGUGAAAGUGGGGGACCUUCGGGCCUCACGCGAUGAGAUGAGCCGAUGCCGGAUUAGCUAGUUGGCGGGGUAAAGGCCCACCAAGGCGACGAUCCGUAGCUGGUCUGAGAGGAUGAUCAGCCACACUGGAACUGAGACACGGUCCAGACUCCUACGGGAGGCAGCAGUGGGGAAUAUUGGACAAUGGGGGCAACCCUGAUCCAGCCAUGCCGCG